This 264-nucleotide ribosomal RNA is filed under the name uncultured bacterium. RNAcentral's name for it is "partial 16S ribosomal RNA". It matches the Rfam family "Bacterial small subunit ribosomal RNA", at positions 88 to 354 of the family's 1533-position model. The record is from RNAcentral.
CCGGCGACCGGCGCACGGGUGAGUAACACGUAUGCAACCUGCCCUCUUCAGGGGGACAACCUUCCGAAAGGGAGGCUAAUCCCGCGUAUAUCGGUUUCGGGCAUCCGAGAUCGAGGAAAGAUCAUCGGAAGAGGAUGGGCAUGCGGCGCAUUAGCUAGACGGCGGGGUAACGGCCCACCGUGGCGACGAUGCGUAGGGGUUCUGAGAGGAAGGUCCCCCACACUGGUACUGAGACACGGACCAGACUCCUACGGGAGGCAGCAG